AGGUGUGUGCGCGCGCACGCAUACAGAGAGAGAUAGAAGGGGAAACCUUGUUCUUGAUAAUCUCCUCUAAAUCAUUCAAUUCAAACUGAAAUCGAAGUGAUUAUAGUGAAUGCUUGAAGUUCUGAUAAGUACUACUUCAUCCUAACACAAGAUCAGAUGAUGACGAAUUAACCAUUUUCCGGGUUGUUCUCUAUAGGCGACUCGAGUGAUAAGGUAGGUGAUAAAGCCUGGAGUGAUACACGACUUAAAAGAAAGCUCUAAGGUACGUGGAAAUAUGCUUCGUGAACUCAUAGCAAGUGUCGGAUGAUGAAGAUCAAGUCUCGAAGGACUGAACACUCUUUAAUUAAAUGAAAUGUCUUCAGUUUUUGUUAAAAAAAUUUAAUGAAUCUAGUAUUAUGUUUAGUCAUGACAAGCUACUAGUAACUUGUUAGUUUAUUAUCUAAACUCUUUGGAUGUUUAUGAAAAAAAAUUACUAGUUUUAAGG
RNAcentral lists this long non-coding RNA (484 nucleotides) under Helianthus annuus (common sunflower). Its description in RNAcentral is "hypothetical non coding rna". The record is from RNAcentral. Lineage: Eukaryota; Viridiplantae; Streptophyta; Magnoliopsida; Asterales; Asteraceae.